AAGUCGUAACAAGGUUUCCGUAGGUGAACCUGCGGAAGGAUCAUUACAUUCAGUAGCUUGCUACUGUUAGGGGGGUCUAUCAGCCUGUAUAGUAUCACUACUGAUGAGCAGCACGACCCUCUGUCUGUACCAUUGUCUUUUGCGCACUCAUGUUUCCUCGGCGGCUAACCCCCGCCGGCUGGACAACACUAUAACCUUUUUAAUUUUCAAUCAGCGUCUGAAAAACUUAAUAAUUACAACUUUCAACAACGGAUCUCUUGGUUCUG
This 266-nucleotide unclassified non-coding RNA is filed under the name air metagenome. Its description in RNAcentral is "partial contains small subunit ribosomal RNA, internal transcribed spacer 1, and 5.8S ribosomal RNA". The stretch from base 1 to 46 matches the Rfam family "Eukaryotic small subunit ribosomal RNA", at positions 1786 to 1831 of the family's 1831-position model. The record is from RNAcentral.